RNAcentral lists this long non-coding RNA (263 nucleotides) under Nicotiana benthamiana. Its description in RNAcentral is "long non-coding RNA (NBEN_LNC034644)". Lineage: Eukaryota; Viridiplantae; Streptophyta; Magnoliopsida; Solanales; Solanaceae. The record is from RNAcentral.
UCUGAUUCUUCAAAAAUGUAAAGUAUCUUGAGCUUGACUUUGAUUUGAUUCAAGGGCUUGUAAAGCUUGAUCUUGAAUCUCAUCCUUGAACUUGAAUUUGUGUUUGAUCACGAACAAGUAUUUGAUCUUAAACGCCUUGGUAUUUGAUUUGGCUUCGUUCUUGAUGUUGAACUUGAACUUGAAUUUGUAGCUUGAGUGCUUGAAUUUGUAGCUUGUAGAGAAAUCUGCGGUGUUUGAUCCACGAGCUCUCUGCUUGCUUCUUG